This 253-nucleotide ribosomal RNA is filed under the name uncultured bacterium. Its description in RNAcentral is "partial 16S ribosomal RNA". It matches the Rfam family "Bacterial small subunit ribosomal RNA", at positions 524 to 776 of the family's 1533-position model. The record is from RNAcentral.
UACGGGGGGUGCGAGCGUUGUCCGGAAUCACUGGGCGUAAAGGGCGCGUAGGUGGUCUGAUAAGGGUGUGGUGAAAGCCCGGGGCUCAACCCCGGGUCGGCCGUGCCGACUGUUAGACUAGAGUGCUGUAGGGGCAGGCGGAAUUCCGGGUGUAGCGGUGGAAUGCGUAGAGAUCCGGAGGAACACCGGUGGCGAAGGCGGCGACCUGGGUAGAUACUGACGCUGAGGCGCGAAAGCGUGGGGAGCAAACAGG